RNAcentral lists this long non-coding RNA (425 nucleotides) under Homo sapiens (human). RNAcentral's name for it is "HSALNT0150088". Lineage: Eukaryota; Metazoa; Chordata; Mammalia; Primates; Hominidae. The record is from RNAcentral.
GAAAGCAGGACCACCGGUCAUUUACACAGCUUGUCCAUUGGCAAGUGCUGCUGAGCCUAGGCAAAUCAUCCAUGGAUUGAGGGUAUCUGGGAUUUCCUCUGCUUGCACUCACUCCGUCGUCUUGCCUUGUGAAGAAGGUUCCUGCUUCUUCUUUGCCUUCCAUGACUCUGCAAGGUCACAAGACAGAUAAGCAUAAGCUGCAAACCGAGUUCUCACAGAGAUGUAAGACAUGUAGCAGAAGUGUCACAGCAGCCUUUUGUUCUCGCUUCUGUAAGCCUGCUUCAUGUAGUUCCCACCUCAAAAUGCUUAAAAAGGACUCAUUUUGUUUGUUCUGGGCUCAGCCUGUAGGACACAUGUCUGCUGGGCCAGGGUACACCUUAAAAUAAACACCCUUCUGCACUGUCUCUCUGCUUCCUUAAAUCUCG